Molecule: ribosomal RNA, 174 nt
Filed under: uncultured Veillonellaceae bacterium
Lineage: Bacteria; Bacillati; Bacillota; Negativicutes; Veillonellales; Veillonellaceae
Description: partial 16S ribosomal RNA
Rfam family: Bacterial small subunit ribosomal RNA
Source: RNAcentral
CGACUUUCUGGCCUGUAACUGACACUGAGGCUCGAAAGCUAGGGGAGCGAACGGGAUUAGAUACCCCGGUAGUCCUAGCCGUAAACGAUGAAUACUAGGUGUAGGGGGUAUCGACCCCUCCUGUGCCGGAGCUAACGCAAUAAGUAUUCCGCUGGGGAGUACGGCCGCAAGGUU